This 429-nucleotide ribosomal RNA is filed under the name Acidobacteriota bacterium. RNAcentral's name for it is "Acidobacteria bacterium partial 16S ribosomal RNA". It matches the Rfam family "Bacterial small subunit ribosomal RNA", at positions 355 to 776 of the family's 1533-position model. The record is from RNAcentral. Lineage: Bacteria; Pseudomonadati; Acidobacteriota.
UGGGGAAUUUUGGACAAUGGGGGAAACCCUGAUCCAGCCAUCCCGCGUGUGCGAUGAAGGCCUUUGGGUUGUAAAGCACUUUUGGCAGGAAAGAAACGUCAUGGGUUAAUACCCCGUGAAACUGACGGUACCUGCAGAAUAAGCACCGGCUAACUACGUGCCAGCAGCCGCGGUAAUACGAAGGGUGCAAGCGUUAAUCGGAAUUACUGGGCGUAAAGCGUGCGCAGGCGGUUCGGAAAGAAAGAUGUGAAAUCCCAGAGCUCAACUUUGGAACUGCAUUUUUAACUACCGGGCUAGAGUGUGUCAGAGGGAGGUGGAAUUCCGCGUGUAGCAGUGAAAUGCGUAGAUAUGCGGAGGAACACCGAUGGCGAAGGCAGCCUCCUGGGAUAACACUGACGCUCAUGCACGAAAGCGUGGGGAGCAAACAGG